Molecule: ribosomal RNA, 1052 nt
Filed under: Triticum aestivum (bread wheat)
Lineage: Eukaryota; Viridiplantae; Streptophyta; Magnoliopsida; Poales; Poaceae
Description: partial small subunit ribosomal RNA
Source: RNAcentral
CAAACUACACCAGGAUGGACAAUCACCCUCACAGCCAUGGACUGCCACGUCAGGAUCGACAGUCGCCCGGAUCACAAGUAAGGCGGAGUAGGAGGCACUAACGCCACUUCGGAUCCCCGGUUUCGCACUUCUCCCGUCCUCCUCAUCAUCCAUCGGUUGGCGUGGUCCCUAGCGGCCGCCUCUACCGCGUCUCCCUCUUUAGGAGGCAGCGCCAGCGGAGGGACAGCAGGAGGCGCGGUUGGCGGCACGGGAGCCCGCUCGCCACCCCGCGGCGCUAGCCGUUGGACCCUCUCGAUCCGCGGUUGCAGCUCAGCGACGUCUUCGACGAGCGGGCCUUCCGGCAGAAGCAGCUGCUGCUGCAGAAGAGGUUCCGGAGGGAGCGGAGGCUUGUCCGGGCGAGGUAGUUCUAAGAACUGGUCUCCCACGUCAGAGACCUUGCACUUGACCUGCGACGGUAAAGACGUCGACGAGCUCGGGCAUGCCUUUUUGCGGUCCGACUUCGACGAGUUGCUCGACGUCUCGACGCACGUGUCCUUCAGUGCUUCCUCGACCUCUUGUGGCGUUCUCAAAAGGUCGACGUGUACCUUCUCGACGCCCGUUUUGUUCUCCUCUAGCGGUUCUCUCUAUCACUAUAGUUCCACAACCUUCGUUAUUAUGCUUGGGACUCAUCGUUUCUACUAUCGCCUAGGUCGCUCAUUAUUGGUAUGUGACCCUCGUAAACCCGUAAGAGUAACUACGAAAGCACAAGUUCGUAGGGCCGUGUAUAAAUAGCUGAGGUACAUUCGUGAAGUUAUGAGUCUACUAACAUAUAACAAAAGUGUUCUAGCUUGUGAGUCUAUCAGCGAACGUUACCAUACGACAGUAGGACAAUGAAAUGUACAACUAUUAACCGGUACUUAUAGUUCGUCUUUGACAACCGUGAUUAGACUGACAACUCAUCUUCGUAGGUUUAACCUGUUAAAUGUCAAUAGCGGACAGGGCCCUCAUACUAAGGAUCCAUAAGCUGCCGUUUAAGUACUACCCAUAUAAAAAGAAAUAAUAAAUGAGGUAGG